AUGCAUCUUUGACAGCCUGAUUCCUCUGAUGUGAGGUAUCCCAGGUUUUAAUAUUUCAGAUGCAAUAUUAAAUGUCCCCGCGCUUUCUGCUCGCCUCUUUCCCGUGGCGUCUCGGAUUGAAUAGGGGAGGAUAAAU
RNAcentral lists this small nucleolar RNA (136 nucleotides) under Anabas testudineus (climbing perch). RNAcentral's name for it is "Small nucleolar RNA SNORA31 (ENSATEG00000026458.1)". It matches the Rfam family "Small nucleolar RNA SNORA31". Rfam says of the family: ACA31 (SNORA31) belongs to the H/ACA class of snoRNAs which are thought to guide the sites of modification of uridines to pseudouridines. ACA31 is predicted to guide the pseudouridylation of U3713 in 28S rRNA and U218 in 18S rRNA. Lineage: Eukaryota; Metazoa; Chordata; Actinopteri; Anabantiformes; Anabantidae. The record is from Rfam by way of RNAcentral.